AUUGCAACUAAUAUGUUCUUAGUACUGUAAUUCAAACUUUCUCUUCUACAUAGAACUGUUAGAUGGCAAGAAGAGUAGCAGAUUUACUCUUUGCAAUGGAAACCUUCGUGGGUGAAAAUUGAGUUCAUGAAACUAACUAAAUAAUUAGAUCAACAGGUCAGACAAUGGAGCCAUCAGAGAAGGACCUAUAUCUACACAAAGGAUGUUAUUUUUUACCAGUGUUGUCCUCACCCGAAAAGAUAGAUUCACUGGAAAGUUUUGAAAUCCAUGAUGACGAUACAUUUAUAAUCACAUAUCCUAAAUCAGGCACAGUGUGGACUCAGAACAUUGUGAGCUUGAUUCUUUAUGAAGGUCAUCGAGAUGGUACUGAAAAUAUUACUCUGAUUGACAGAGCACCGUGGCUGGAGUAUAAUAUUUACCAUGUAGAUUUACCCAAUCGCCCAUCACCUCGUGUCAUUUGUUCCCACCUGCCCUACUAUUUGAUACCCAAAGGAUUACGAAAUAAAAGAGCAAAAGUAGGACAUAUUUUGGUAACUUGUGGAAU
Molecule: non-coding RNA, 544 nt
Organism: Notechis scutatus (mainland tiger snake)
Lineage: Eukaryota; Metazoa; Chordata; Lepidosauria; Squamata; Elapidae
Source: RefSeq, a predicted model, not a curated record